Molecule: unclassified non-coding RNA, 508 nt
Filed under: Hevea brasiliensis (rubber tree)
Lineage: Eukaryota; Viridiplantae; Streptophyta; Magnoliopsida; Malpighiales; Euphorbiaceae
Source: RNAcentral
GGAAGUGAAAGAAAUCGAGGAAAGGAGUAGGAGGGUGAGGAUUGAGGAGGAGAUGAGGGAGAAAUUAGCUGAAAAAGAGAAGGAGAUAUUUCAGUAUAAGAAUAAAUUCCUGGAGCUGGAGAAUGAGGUGGCAAAGAAGGAGGGAUGGGAGGAUAAAUUGAAGGCGUCGGAGGAGAAGGUGAGAGACAUGGAAGAAAAGAUGGCAAAGUUACAGAAGGAUGCGGAGGAAGCGCGAAAGGUGGUUGGUGGAUUAAAGAAGAGAACUGUAGAUGCUAUUAAUGGCAUUCGAGUUGAUAGCUUAGAUAACGAGUCUAAGGGGCUGAAGAUGCAAUGGCCGGUUCUGGCUGUGGGAUCAACAGGUGCUAUAGCUGUCGCAGCUGCUGUGGUUUAUGUCUGCUAUGCUAGGCGGGCGUAAUUCAAGAGUUUAGGGUUUGUUCGAUACCCUAUUUUAAAAAAAAUAAAAAAAAAGAAGAAUAUAUUUCAAUUUUGUUAGGUAGGAUGUCAUUUU